AGGACUCUGCCCACCCCCUGUUCAGACCCAUUCUCCAGCCCCAAGCAGGGAUUCCACACUGUAGGAGGAGAGAUUGAUGACCCAGAGGGCAAGAAAAGAAAGUGUUUCAGAAGACUCUCAAAAUGCUCUGCCCUGAAAACGAGGGGUUAUGAUGGAAUAGAUUCAGUGCCUGGCUCAUUGUGGGAUAUCAACAAAGAGCUGAAGAAGGAAGGAAAGAAGAAAGAAAGGGGAACAGACAAGAGAUAGGGACACAGGGAAAGAGGAACUCAGCAACAAUAUAAUUUUCCCAAAUUUAUCAGCAAAAGAGCACCUGGAGUUUGGAGUCUGGAGAUUAUCGUUCACCUACCACACGUAGGUUGCCCACUUAAUCCACCUGAGCCUCUUUUUACGAAUCCAAAGGCAGAAUAUUUCCAACACAGAUUUGGUAAUAAACUGGGUGCUCUGACAUAUGGUUAGCAGUAUUGUGAAUUGGUACAUCUCACUGGAAAAGCAAUUUAUCAGUACAAAUCAAGAGUAUACAAAAAUAUGCACACUUUUGACUGAGUUCUGAGUUUCUGUUCUACAAAAUAAUUCCCAUAUAUUAAAAAAAAAAACACUUGUACAAAUAUUAAAAUAGCCUGAGUCCCUGAUGACAUUGUGGUCUCUGAACUGUUUUAUAUGGGAG
This 664-nucleotide long non-coding RNA is filed under the name Homo sapiens (human). RNAcentral's name for it is "long non-coding RNA NONHSAT154725". The record is from RNAcentral. Lineage: Eukaryota; Metazoa; Chordata; Mammalia; Primates; Hominidae.